CGGGGAUGUGCCCGCAACCAAGGUACAUGCCCUUGACCGGAAUCAAACCUGGGACCCUUCAGUCCGCAGGCCGACGCUCUAUCCACCGAGCCAAACCGGCCAGGGCAGGAAUUCACUUUAUUACUCACUGCUCAUGUCUUUUGGAUUUCCAGGAGUCAGGCUUCCCUAGAAAUGGAAAUAUUUGGGCAGACAGUGUUUUAUGCCAGAGUGGAUGGAGGAGGAAAGCAGAUACCUCCUCAAAUAGAGCAGGCCCAUUCCUGCCCCGGGAAGGGCGUCGCCUCUAACAGCAUUGCUGAACUUUUCCCCAAAUCUCAGGUUUCACAGGGAGAUGAUAACCUUCCCUGACAAAGACGUUUUUUGGAUUGGCAUCUAGGACAAGUCAAAAUAAGGGGACAAGUUUUCUUUAAGGCAUGGGGUGCCUCCAGUAAAGACCCCCCUCCCCUUAGCUGCACUGGGAUGCCCCUCAGGGGAGUCGGAGCAUCCCUCUACCUUGACUUCUAAGAUACCAGGGAGAGGUCUUACCAGUUAGCAGACCACCAGUGUCUGCUGUGGAGAUGAUUUCCAGCCUGGCAGCUCCACUCUCAGCCGCCUGAGGGACGGGCAGAAAACCUAGGGACAGGUGGUGCCAUUCUGGGCAUGUCUGCUUGUGGCCAGCUGCCUCUGCAAAUAGAAGUUUUUCUAGAAUCGGUUGGAGGGAGUGGAAAGCAGACCCACGCAGUAAAUAAACGUGUGUGUUUAGUUAGGAAAGGAGUUUGCCUGUCAGUGAGUCUGAUGGCAGGUUCCCAGGAAGCGCAGGGCAAGCCGGCUUCUCGGCGUAUUUGUGCUGAGUUGUAUUAAACUCUGGGAACAUUCUGAAGUUUGCUGUAGAGAAAGGGGCAUUUCCAGAGUUGCCAGCUAAGACCAUACCCAAUUUCCCCAAGUCCUUUCUUUGCCAUGCAGUCUGUGCAGAGCUGCGUAGUUAAAUUAGACUUCUUUAUCUCUGUGUCCUUGGUGGCAGCAAAAAUGACAAAAGCUGAGGAUGGAGCAGAGUUGCAUUGUCUCAUUGAAUCCUCACUGCCACCCUCUGAGGUGGGCACUGUUAUUACCGCCAUUCUGCAGAUGGGGAAACUGAGGCACAGGGGUUAAGGCAGCUGCUCAGGCUCACGCAGCCAGCUGGCGAUAGAGCUGAGGGGACGCUUACCGUUCUUUUGGUCCAGGGCGCUUUACGUGUCCCUGUUUAAUCCACAGUAAUUUGUAGUCCUUUUUAAGUUGGAGAUUUGGCUGUGUACACCCAUGUUUGGGUCUCUGUCUCUGCUUCUCAAUUUUAAGGUCCAAUCAACCAGAUAAGAAUGCCUUUAUAUUUAUCGGCCAAAGGCCAGUCAUGCGUGUAUCAGCUUUAGUUGGGAGUCAGCGGCUAAAAGUGACUAGAUUCGGAACCAGGGAUAUCACACAUGCUCUGGGUGCCUUUUUUUUGGGGGGGGGGGGAGAAUGUGGUUUUUAAAAAUAGUGACUUGAAUAUAUACAUCAAGGAGUCAUCAUAGGCUUCUGCAUAGGUAUUUGCAGACUAUGAUGCUAAAGAAAAAAUGCCCAGAAUAAUUGAAACUUGUAACAGUAUUACGCUUUUAUGGCUUUUUGUUGAUGAAUUAUUUAAACUUUGGAAAGAGGAAAAACAAUUCGAGAACUGGAUUUAAGGUAAUUAUUAUGAUAUUAUCUUCUCAGUAAGACCCACAUGUUCUUUUUUAUUAAAGGUGGUGGGGGUUUUCAUUAUUUAGUAUGCUACACCAAGCCUUCAGAUAUAUCCAAUUCUGCCAGUUUCCUGAGCUUAUUAAGGAGAUUCGUAGAAUUACAGAAGAUUAAAGCAAGUGUUAAAAAUCUCCAGCUCCUCUCUUCUGGCUGGAUCACCUAAAGCACCCCAAGUGAAAAAUCUACCCUGUUGUUAAAGACCUCUAGGGAAAAAGCUAUCCUGAAAUGUCUCUCUGUAACUCAUGCCAAUGCUUAACAACCCUGAGGUUUAAUGCUUAGAAGUUGGUUUCUUAUAUAUGGAUGAAAGAAACUCUAAGUACAGUAUAAAAUAUGGAAAGCUAUGCACUAUGCAAAAGACCUCUCAUUUCAGAAAACAAAACAAACACACACACACCAGAAAGUACUUAGUUGAAAAGGAUCUCUUUAUUAUGAUAGUACACCUAAAAUGCCUACAAUAAAAAUAAAUAUUUUUCCCUCAAGAGUUCUUCAUCAACACCAGAACCAGGGCUACCAAUUACCUCAAGAAGUCUUAUCAAGCUCUGUAUCUUUUGGAAAGUUUUACCUAACUUCAGAAGAAGGGGGGGAAAGGAACAGUAGUAACACCACACACACACACACACACACACACACACACUCACUCUGCAGUUUCCUAAGCAGUUUGUUCUAAUUCUUCACAUUCCUCCUGUCAGAGUGUUUGCUUAUGGCUACCUGUGCAUUGUCAUGUAAGCCCAUUUCUAAAAGGUAUGUGUUGGAAAUUGAAUAAAAGUGUUUAAUUUUUCAUAA
Molecule: long non-coding RNA, 2505 nt
Organism: Myotis lucifugus (little brown bat)
Lineage: Eukaryota; Metazoa; Chordata; Mammalia; Chiroptera; Vespertilionidae
Exons: 3
Source: RefSeq, a predicted model, not a curated record